Long non-coding RNA from Heterocephalus glaber (naked mole-rat), 829 nucleotides. NCBI's taxonomy places the organism in Eukaryota, Metazoa, Chordata, Mammalia, Rodentia, Bathyergidae. The record is from Ensembl.
CGUGAUUCCAUCUGCAACGUUAUGAUGCAGCAAGAAGGCCCUCAGCAGUUGCAGUCUGUCAGCUUUGGACUUUCCAGCCUUUAGAACUGGACAGCAGAGGGGCACUGGAGAAAGAAGGCACAAAAAUGCAAAACCUCCUAAACUCUUCAGGGCAUGUGACUAUUUCUCAACUUUAUUUGAGUUGUCAUGGUGGAAGGUGUUGAUGGGAAGAGUAUGGCCAGGAGAAGCUGGAGAGUGAAGGCAAUUUGGGAGCAUGAAUAAAGAGGCCUGGCCCAGAUUCCCAGGCCUACAGCGGCCAGACAACAAUAGGAAAUGUGCUGAGAUGAGGGAACAACAAAAAAUACACAUAAUAAUGUGGAAAGGGUGAGGGAAAGCCACCCUGAGGGUCAGAGAAGCCCACACAGAGUGAACAUCCCAACUUGGAAGUCUGAAGCAGCAGAAUCAUGAGCUUUAGCCCAACCUGGGCAACUUAGACCCUGUGUCAAAAAGAAAAGAAAAAAAAUUCCGAGUGACUAUCCAGAGAAUAAUUCUGUAUUUCCUGUCGUACUUCGUGUCAGACCACUUGUCCUGCCUUUGCUAGCCUCUCCUCCCUGGUGGGAAAAGUGCAGCGGUGAGAGCAAAAGGCAGGGUAAACCAGUGUCUGUGGGCUGACCCUCAGGGUUAAAGACUAGGGUAACUGACCAGGUGGGUGCAAAGGGAAAUGUGGUAUGGUGGGUGAUGCAGUGGUAUUUUGUACACUCCCCCAGUCUGUGUGGCGGGGAGGAGUGCUAUAGGACAUUAAAAUUUUCUAGGGGAUUUUUUCCCUUCCACCUACAGACAGCUGUUAAUG